ACGGGAGGCAGCAGUAGGGAAUCUUCCGCAAUGGACGAAAGUCUGACGGAGCAACGCCGCGUGAGUGAUGAAGGUUUUCGGAUCGUAAAGCUCUGUUGUUAGGGAAGAACAAGUGCGAGAGUAACUGCUCGCACCUUGACGGUACCUAACCAGAAAGCCACGGCUAACUACGUGCCAGCAGCCGCGGUAAUACGUAGGUGGCAAGCGUUGUCCGGAAUUAUUGGGCGUAAAGGGCUCGCAGGCGGUUUCUUAAGUCUGAUGUGAAAGCCCCCGGCUCAACCGGGGAGGGUCAUUGGAAACUGGGAAACUUGAGUGCAGAAGAGGAGAGUGGAAUUCCACGUGUAGCGGUGAAAUGCGUAGAGAUGUGGAGGAACACCAGUGGCGAAGGCGACUCUCUGGUCUGUAACUGACGCUGAGGAGCGAAAGCGUGGGGAGCGAACAGGAUUAGAUACCCUGGUAGUCCACGCCGUAAACGAUGAGUGCUAAGUGUUAGGGGGUUUCCGCCCCUUAGUGCUGCAGCUAACGCAUUAAGCACUCCGCCUGGGGAGUACGGUCGCAAGACUGAAACUCAAAGGAAUUGAC
Molecule: ribosomal RNA, 582 nt
Filed under: uncultured bacterium
Lineage: Bacteria
Description: bacterial SSU rRNA
Rfam family: Bacterial small subunit ribosomal RNA
Source: RNAcentral